MicroRNA precursor from Nicotiana attenuata, 97 nucleotides. It matches the Rfam family "MIR6152 microRNA precursor family". NCBI's taxonomy places the organism in Eukaryota, Viridiplantae, Streptophyta, Magnoliopsida, Solanales, Solanaceae. The record is from Rfam.
UGGACAGAUUAUUUUAUUCGAAUGUAUUCACGGCGUGAAAUAGGGGAUUACACCGUUUUUAAAACGGAAAGUGAAUCAAUUAACAUAAUAGACUCCU